GGUCCACAUGCUUGGAUAAUCCUGUGAAGAAAUAGCUAGACAAUCAAGUGUUGUAGUUUUGCUGCAUAUUGCUAUAGCUGCAAAAGACAACUUAUUGUUUGUAAGGCUUUUUUCUGGAUUAAAGAUGUCACCUAGACAAGUUUUGAUUCUAUUUAUCCUUGUAAUUUAUUGCAAUAUUUCACAGGAGUAUGCUUUAAAGAGAAAACCAGUUAAAUUCGCUACACUGACACCUUUAGAAAAUCGUUCAGGAGUAUAUGACCAGUUGUGCAGUUUCUACAGGCAGACGUGUAACUGCGCAAAGGUUCGACAAUUUUGUGUUGAUCCAUCUUGCUGCAACCAACCACUAUUUACUGAAAUGAGAACAAAUGGUCAGACGAGAGAUUCAGAGGAGGAUGACGACUGAAUGACUCUGUAGGUUAUAAUAAAGUCCAUAAAACCUGUUUGUUGUACUGGACUACGUUCGUCAAUCACCUGUUUUUGUACUGGACAUGCAUUCGUCAAUCACCUGUUUUAUGUAGCAAAUGUGUAGUGGACAUAUAUUAUUUAGUCGCCUGCUCUAUGAAGUUGACAUAUACAAUACACUGACUAUACAUAGAUUAAUAAACCAGAAAAUUUAUAGUCGUAAAUAGAAUAACUAUGUUUACUAUUGGAAUGACACAUUUUCCCUUUAUUUUAAUA
This is a long non-coding RNA of Mytilus trossulus (common blue mussel), 678 nucleotides long. RefSeq lists it as uncharacterized. The record is from RefSeq and is a predicted model, not a curated record. Lineage: Eukaryota; Metazoa; Mollusca; Bivalvia; Mytilida; Mytilidae. The transcript has 3 exons.